This 1469-nucleotide long non-coding RNA is filed under the name Homo sapiens (human). Its description in RNAcentral is "PREDICTED lncRNA (TCONS_00189040)". The stretch from base 591 to 866 matches the Rfam family "SOX2 overlapping transcript exon 3". The record is from RNAcentral. Lineage: Eukaryota; Metazoa; Chordata; Mammalia; Primates; Hominidae.
GAAUGUUGGGAACCGAUCUGAUUCCAAGGAUUGAGAAGUUUUGCAGUGGUCAACUGGUAUAGACAUCCCAUUACCACUACUUCCUUCAUUGGACUGCAAGGUAUUUCUGUUUGGAAAAGUAAUGGAGUCCAGUCAACUUCAUUGAUCGCCAAGGACUGUCAAAAUUAUAAAACUUGCUGUGGAGCUCUGACAUGCCAGAAGCCGCUAGAAAAAGAAGUUUGACAUUCAGAAACUUAUCAAGAGGUUCUACUCUUUGGAUAGAGACCAAAAUCAUACUUUGAAUGAUAUGCAAUGCAAGACUCCCAAGAUUCUGGGCAGUGGCAGGGAGGUGCAGCUUCUAGUCUGCCGCAUGAUCACAAUGAAAGCCUGACAGGUUUCUUCGGAAAAGUGGCCAUCCAUGGAAUGAAUGAAAUGUUCUCUUUCUAUUCCACCUCUAGAGACCAUCAAAAAACAAUGGCUCAUAAUGCUUUUAGAACAGAAACUGAAGUUGUAUACUGUGCAUAUGUAAUCCUACACAAGAGGAAGGCAAUGUUUAAAGCUGCUGUCACCUCUUAGGGAAAAAACUGGAAUUCUGAGUCAAGGGAUUGCAGUGGCAAAGCUAGGCUAGGUCUUGGAGGCUGGUGUAAGGCGAUGUGGGUGAAGGCAGGAGGCUGAUGGAAAGACUGGGGGGAAGAAAAGCCGAAAUGGAUUCACGGUGCCUUGGAUGAAGGACGAGAGGGGAACUGCAAGCUCCUUCAACUGGUUCUGUCCGGUGAGAAGUGAUCAAGCUUGGGCUGACAAGAGGCUCAGGGAGCCCUCACGUUCUUUCGCUUUUUUACCUGCCAAUCAAACUGCUACAAGACAACACCCUGAUCUGGCAUGGACAUCGCGGGUCCAAGCCUGUAGCCCCAAAUCGGAUAAUCUCUGCAGCUGAUAACAAGCAAAAGAGAAGCCAGGCAACAGCCAUAUUAAAGAAGAAAACAAUCAACUCUGAGGAUGGCUGCCAGGGAAUAGAUGAAAGGCAGAAGUGGCGAUGGGUGACUGAUGUGGCACACUUAUGAAGAAAAGCCUCUUUUUCCAUGCUUGUUUUUCCUCCCCAAGGAGCCAACAGAGUUUCUAUUCUCCAACUCUGCUCUUCACCUUACCCAAGUCAUUGCAGUCACCUGGAGUCACGGAAAUGACCAUGAUUGCCUGAACUUUCAUGACUUCUGUGGAUAACUGUGGUUGCAGAAAAGAGAAAACCUGGACCGUGAGGGACAUUUCACUCCCUGGGCUUUGCCUUGGUUGUUUACUUGUAUCUAAGACAGAGGUGUCCAAUAUUUUGGCUUCCCUGGGCCACAAUGGAAGAAGAAUAGUCUUGGGCCACACAUAAAAUACACUAAUGCUAACAAUAGCUGAUGAGCUAAAAAAUAAAAAUAAAAAUACGCCGGGCACGGUGGCCCACACCUGGAAUCCCAGCACUUUGGGACGACGAGGCAGGCGGAUCACAA